UACGGGGGGGGCAAGCGUUGUUCGGAAUUACUGGGCGUAAAGGGCGCGCAGGCGGUUGGUUAAGUCUCUCGUGAAAGCCCACGGCUCAACCGUGGAAGUUCAUGGGAUACUGUGUAACUUGAGUGCAGGAGAGGAGGGUGGAAUUCCCAGUGUAGCGGUGAAAUGCGUAGAGAUUUGGAGGAACACCAGUGGCGAAGGCGCCUUUCUGGUCUGUAACUGACACUGAGGCGCGAAAGCGUGGGGAGCAAACAGG
This 253-nucleotide ribosomal RNA is filed under the name uncultured bacterium. Its description in RNAcentral is "partial 16S ribosomal RNA". It matches the Rfam family "Bacterial small subunit ribosomal RNA", at positions 524 to 776 of the family's 1533-position model. The record is from RNAcentral.